GCAUGCGGGUGGUUCAUUAAGGCAGAUGUGAAAGCCCGGGGAAAGCCGCGGAACUGCAUUUGAAACUGGUGAACUAGAGUACUGUAGAGGGGGGUAGAAUUUCAGGUGUAGCGGUGAAAUGCGUAGAGAUCUGAAGGAAUACCAGUGGCGAAUGCGGCCCCCUGGACAGAUACUGACACUCAGAUGCGAAAGCGUGGGGAGCAAACAGGAUUAGAUACCCUGGUAGUCCACGCCGUAAACGAUGUCUACUUGGAGGUUGUGGCCUUGAGCCGUGGCUUUCGGAGCUAACGCGUUAAGUAGACCGCCUGGGGAGUACGGUCGCAAGAUUAAAACUCAAAUGAAUUGACGGGGGCCCGCACAAGCGGUGGAGCAUGUGGUUUAAUUCUAUGCAACGCGAAGAACUUUACCUACUCUUGACAUCCAGAGAAGCCAGCGGAGACGCAGGUGUGCCUUCGGGAGCUCUGACACAGGUGCUGCAUGGCUGUCGUCAGCUCGUGUUGUGAAAUGUUGGGUUAAGUCCCCGCAACGAGCGCAACCCCUUAUCCCUUUGUUUGCCAGCGAGUC
Molecule: ribosomal RNA, 564 nt
Filed under: uncultured bacterium
Lineage: Bacteria
Description: bacterial SSU rRNA
Rfam family: Bacterial small subunit ribosomal RNA
Source: RNAcentral